RNAcentral lists this ribosomal RNA (497 nucleotides) under uncultured bacterium. RNAcentral describes it as "partial 16S ribosomal RNA". It matches the Rfam family "Bacterial small subunit ribosomal RNA", at positions 28 to 507 of the family's 1533-position model. The record is from RNAcentral.
GAUGAACGCUGGCGGCGUGCUUAACACAUGCAAGUCGAACGAACAGACGAGGACCUUCCUGCUCUCACGUUAGCCGCGGGCGGGUGAAUCACACGUGGAUACCCUACCUAUCAGCCUGGGAUAACUGCGGGACUCCGGAGCUAAUCCCGGAUGAUAUUGUGUACCGUGCGGUUCUAUAGUGAUAGACCGUUUUGCUGUCACUUAUAGGUCGAUCAGCGCGGCAUUAGCUAGUUGGUAAGGUAACGCCUUACCAAGGCAACGAUGCGUAGCCGACGUGAGAGGGUGAUCGGCGACACUGGAACUGAGACACGGUCCAGACUCCUACGGGAGGCAGCAGUAGGGAAUCGGCCGCAAUGGGGGAAAGCCUGACGGAGCAACGCCGCGUGAGUGAUGAAGGUCUUCGGAUCGUAAAACUCUGUUAUUAGGGAAGAACAAAUGUGUAAGUAAAUAUGGAGGACUUGACGGUACCUGAUCAGAAAGCAACGGCUAACUACGUG